RNAcentral lists this ribosomal RNA (264 nucleotides) under Salmonella enterica. Its description in RNAcentral is "partial 23S ribosomal RNA". It matches the Rfam family "Bacterial large subunit ribosomal RNA", at positions 527 to 692 of the family's 2925-position model. Lineage: Bacteria; Pseudomonadati; Pseudomonadota; Gammaproteobacteria; Enterobacterales; Enterobacteriaceae. The record is from RNAcentral.
CGGCGAGGGGAGUGAAAAAGAACCUGAAACCGUGUACGUACAAGCAGUGGGAGCCCCACCACUAAGCCAGUGGUGAACUCCACAUACGCAUCCUUUGCUGAGGAUACGGUUAACGGAGCGAAAGCGACGUUCAACCUCAAAAGAAGCAGAGGGGGCUUAGUGGUGGGGUGACUGCGUACCUUUUGUAUAAUGGGUCAGCGACUUAUAUUCUGUAGCAAGGUUAACCGAAUAGGGGAGCCGGAGGGAAACCGAGUCUUAAUUGGG